GACGAACGCUGGCGGCGUGCCUAAUACAUGCAAGUCGAACGCAGUGGGGACGGGUGAGUAACACGUGGGUAACCUCCCAUCAGAGGGGAGAACACUUGGAAACAGGUGCUAAACCGAGACUGAAGGAUGGACCCGCGGUGCAUUAGCUAGAUGGUGAGGUAACGGCUCACCAAGGCCACGAGGCAUAGCCUACCUGUGAGGGUGAUCGUCCACACUGGGACUGAGACACGGCCCAGACUCCUACGGGAGGCAGCAGUAGGGAAUCUUCGUCAAUUGACGAAAGUCUGACCGAGCAACGCCGCGUGAGUGAAGAAGGUUUUCGGAUCGUAAAACUCUGUUGUUAGAGAAGCGGUAUCUAACGAAUAAGCACCGGCUAACUCCGUGCCAGCAGCCGCGGUAAUAC
RNAcentral lists this ribosomal RNA (403 nucleotides) under uncultured bacterium. RNAcentral's name for it is "partial 16S ribosomal RNA". It matches the Rfam family "Bacterial small subunit ribosomal RNA", at positions 28 to 526 of the family's 1533-position model. The record is from RNAcentral.